This 425-nucleotide ribosomal RNA is filed under the name uncultured bacterium. RNAcentral's name for it is "bacterial SSU rRNA". It matches the Rfam family "Bacterial small subunit ribosomal RNA", at positions 354 to 796 of the family's 1533-position model. The record is from RNAcentral.
GUGGGGAAUAUUGGACAAUGGGCGCAAGCCUGAUCCAGCCAUGCCGCGUGAGUGAUGACGGCCCUAGGGUUGUAAAGCUCUUUCGGCGGGGAAGAUAAUGACUGUACCCGCAGAAGAAGCCCCGGCUAACUUCGUGCCAGCAGCCGCGGUAAUACGAAGGGGGCUAGCGUUGUUCGGAAUCACUGGGCGUAAAGCGUAUGUAGGCGGAUUGUUAAGUCAGGGGUGAAAUCCCGAGGCUCAACCUCGGAACUGCCUUUGAUACUGGCUUUCUUGAGUUCGGGAGAGGUGAGUGGAACUCCUAGUGUAGAGGUGAAAUUCGUAGAUAUUAGGAAGAACACCAGUGGCGAAGGCGGCUCACUGGCCCGAUACUGACGCUGAUGUACGAAAGCGUGGGGAGCAAACAGGAUUAGAAACCCCUGUAGUCC